RNAcentral lists this ribosomal RNA (440 nucleotides) under uncultured bacterium. RNAcentral's name for it is "partial 16S ribosomal RNA". It matches the Rfam family "Bacterial small subunit ribosomal RNA", at positions 338 to 795 of the family's 1533-position model. The record is from RNAcentral.
CCUACGGGCGACAGCAGUGGGGAAUAUUGCACAAUGGGGGGAACCCUGAUGCAGCAACGCCGCGUGGGUGAAGAAGUACUUCGGUAUGUAAAGCCCUGUCAGCAGGGAAGAAAAUGACGGUACCUGACCAAGAAGCCCCGGCUAACUACGUGCCAGCAGCCGCGGUAAUACGUAGGGGGCAAGCGUUAUCCGGAUUUACUGGGGGUAAAGGGAGCGUAGACGGGAAGGCAAGUCUGGAGUGAAAGGCCGUGGCUCAACCACGGGAAUGCUUUGGAAACUGUGUUGCUGGAGUGCAGGAGGGGUAAGCGGAAGUCCUAGUGUAGCGGUGAAAUGCGUAGAUAUUAGGAGGAACACCGGUGGCGAAGGCGGCUUACUGGACUGUAACUGACGUUGAGGCUCGAAGGCGUGGGGAGCAAACAGGAUUAGAUACCCUUGUAGUC